UAAUCACAGAUAAUAAAGUGGAUUACUGCGACACUUAGCUGCAUAUUUGUUCAUGACAGCGUUGUGCUGUAACAGCGUUAAAAUAAGUGACUUGUCGUUGGGUUUGUCUUGAACCAGCAGUAGGCACGGUGUGUGCCGAGUCAUGUACGCUACAAAUUGAAUGUGUCUGCAGUCAUACAUAGACUUACAUAGACGCCACAUUAAGGGCCCGUCCCAAUACCCCCCCUUAGCCCUACCUCUUGGCCCUACCCCUACAUUUGCACGUUCCCGCGAGGGGUCCCAAUUCCUUUGUGUGUGUAGGGGUAGGGGGCAUAACAAGGGGUAGUGGGUAUGAAACUAGCCGUUCGGAGCGAGGGAUUUCAGGUGCUGACUUGCCAGCGAGGGGCAGACGUCGCCAUGGCUACCACCGAGCAAGAGACGGGGAAAAAAGUUCAUACAUAGCUAACGUUACUGUUGUCAGGUUGCUUGUUAGCUAGCUAGCUAGCUCGCACUAUCUGGCGUCUGUCAUCUGUCCUGUUCUGCAAAAUUGUUGGAUUUUUCACAUUACGAUAACAUGCCAGCUAGUAUAACUAUGCUGCCUCGUAAUGUUAGGUGGUUAGCUAGCUAGCAGAAGUCCCCUGUCAUCUGUCGUUCAUCAAACGAAGCAUGAUGAAUACAGCAAAUGCGAUCGGCAGGAUGAACUCAACUGGAGACUCCAUUGCAGAUGCCAGUUGGACAUGUAGAUGGUUCACAGCUUCCUGUUUAAAAUAGGUACAUAUGUGUGAAUGUAACCGACACGGUUACGUAGUGAGUGGUGUCCCAAUUCCAAGGGAAAGAUUUCAACCCCUACCCCUCGUUGCUUCAUUUCGAGGGCCAAGGGGUAGUGGCUAAGGGCUAGGGGUAGGACCAAGGGCUAAGGGGUAGUGGCCAAGGGCUAAGGGGUAGGGCCAAGGGCUAAGGGGUAGUGGCCAAGGGCUAAGAGGCAAGGCCAAGGGCUAAGGGGUAGUGGCCAAGGGCUAAGAGGCAAGGCCAAGGGCUAAGGGGUAGUGGACAAGGGCAAAGGGUAGUGGCCAAGGGCUAAGGUGUAGGACCAAGGGCUAAGGGGCAGUGGCCAAGGGCUAGGGGUAGUGGACAAGGGCUAAGAGGUAGUGGACAAGGGCUAAGAGGUAGUGGCCAAGGGUUAAGAGGCAAGGCCAAGGGCUAAGGGGUAGGGCCAAGGGCUAAGACUUAGUGGCAAAGGGCUAAGGGUAGUGGCCAAGGGCUAAGAGGUAGGACCAAGGGCUAAGGGGUAGUAGCCAAGGGCUAAGAGGUAAGACCAAGGGCUAAGGGGUAGUGGCCAAGGGCUAAGAGGCAAGGCCAAGGGCUAAGGGGUAGGACCAAGGGCUAAGAGGUAGUGGCAAAGGGCUAGGGGUAGGGCCAAGGGCUAAGAUGUAGUGGCAAAGGGCUAGGGGUAGUGGCCAAGGGCUAAGAGGUAAGACCAAGGGCUAAGAGGUAAGACCAAGGGCUAAGGGGUAGGGCCAAGGGCUAAGACUUAGUGGCAAAGGGCUAAGGGUAGUGGCCAAGGGCUAAGAGGUAGGACCAAGGGCUAAGGGGUAGUAGCCAAGGGCUAAGAGGUAAGACCAAGGGCUAAGGGGUAGUGGCCAAGGGCUAAGAGGCAAGGCCAAGGGCUAAGGGGUAGGACCAAGGGCUAAGAGGUAGUGGCAAAGGGCUAGGGGUAGGGCCAAGGGCUAAGAGGUAAGACCAAGGGCUAAGGGGUAGUGGCCAAGGGCUAAGAGGCAAGGCCAAGGGCUAAGAGGUAAGACCAAGGGCUAAGAGGUAGUGGCAAAGGGCUAAGAGGCAAGGCCAAGGGCUAAGGGGUAGUGGACAAGGGCAAAGGGUAGUGGCCAAGGGCUAAGGUGUAGGACCAAGGGCUAAGAGGUAAGACCAAGGGCUAAGGGGUAGUGGCCAAGGGCUAAGAGGCAAGGCCAAGGGCUAAGGGGUAGGACCAAGGGCUAAGAGGUAGUGGCAAAGGGCUAGGGGUAGGGCCAAGGGCUAAGAGGUAAGACCAAGGGCUAAGGGGUAGUGGCCAAGGGCUAAGGGGUAGGGCCAAGGGCUAAGGGGUAGUGGCCAAGGGCUAAGAGGCAAGGCCAAGGGCUAAGGGGUAGUGGACAAGGGCAAAGGGUAGUGGCCAAGGGCUAAGGUGUAGGACCAAGGGCUAAGGGGCAGUGGCCAAGGGCUAGGGGUAGUGGACAAGGGCUAAGAGGUAGUGGACAAGGGCUAAGAGGUAGUGGCCAAGGGUUAAGAGGCAAGGCCAAGGGCUAAGGGGUAGGGCCAAGGGCUAAGACUUAGUGGCAAAGGGCUAAGGGUAGUGGCCAAGGGCUAAGAGGUAGGACCAAGGGCUAAGGGGUAGUGGCCAAGGCCUAAGAGGUAAGACCAAGGGCUAAGGGGUAGGACCAAGGACUAAGGGGUAGUGGCCAAGGGCUAAGAGGUAAGACCAAGGGCUAAGGGGUAGUGGCCAAGGGCUAAGAGGUAAGACCAAGGGGUAAGGGGUAGUGGCCAAGGGCUAAGGGGUAGGGCCAAGGGCUAAGAGGUAGUGGCAUAGGGCUAGGGGUAGUGGCCAAGGGCUAAGAGGUAAGACCAAGGGCUAAGGGGUAGUGGCCAAGGGCUAAGAGGCAAGGCCAAGGGCUAAGGGGUAGGACCAAGGGCUAAGAGGAGUGGCUAAGGGCUAGGGGUAGUGGCCAAGGGCUAAGAGGUAAGACCAAGGCCUAAGGGGUAGUGGCCAAGGGCUAAGGGGUAGUGGCCAAGGGCUAAGAGGUAAGACCAAGGCCUAAGGGGUAGGACCAAGGGCUAAAGGGUAGUGGCCAAGGGCUAAGAGGUAAGACCAAGGGCUAAGGGGUAGGGCCAAGGGCUAAGAGGUAAGACCAAGGCCUAAAGGGUAGUGGCCAAGGGCUAAGGGGUAGGACCAAGGGCUAAGGGGUAAGACCAAGGGCUAAGGGGUAGUAGCCAAGGGCUAAGAGGCAAGGCCAAGGGCUAAGGGGUAGGACCAAGGGCUAAGGGGUAAGACCAAGGGCUAAGGGGUAGGGCCAAGGGCUAAGAGGUAAGACCAAGGCCUAAGGGGUAGGACCAAGGGCUAAGGGGUAGUGGCCAAGGGCUAAGAGGUAAGACCAAGGGCUAAGGGGUAGUGGCCAAGGCCUAAGAGGUAAGACCAAGGGCUAAGGGGUAGGACCAAGGGCUAAGGGGUAGUGGCCAAGGGCUAAGAGGUAAGACCAAGGGCUAAGGGGUAGGGCCAAGGGCUAAGAGGCAAGGCCAAGGGCUAAGGGGUAGGACCAAGGGCUAAGAGGUAGUGGCAAAGGGCUAGGGGUAGGGCCAAGGGCUAAUAUGUAGUGUCAAAGGGCUAGGGGUAGUGGCCAAGGGCUAAGAGGUAAGACCAAGGGCUAAGAGGUAAGACCAAGGGCUAAGGGGUAGUAGCCAAGGGCUAAGAGGCAAGGCCAAGGGCUAAGGGGUAGUGGCCAAGGGCUAAGAGGUAAGACCAAGGGGUAAGGGGUAGUGGCCAAGGGCUAAGGGGUAGGGCCAAGGGCUAAGAGGUAGUGGCAAAGGGCUAGGGGUAGUGGCCAAGGGCUAAGAGGUAAGACCAAGGGCUAAGGGGUAGUGGCCAAGGGCUAAGAGGCAAGGCCAAGGGCUAAGGGGUAGGACCAAGGGCUAAGAGGUAGUGGCUAAGGGCUAGGGGUAGUGGCCAAGGGCUAAGAGGUAAGACCAAGGCCUAAGGGGUAGUGGCCAAGGGCUAAGGGGUAGUGGCCAAGGGCUAAGAGGUAAGACCAAGGCCUAAGGGGUAGGACCAAGGGCUAAGGGGUAGUGGCCAAGGGCUAAGAGGUAAGACCAAGGGCUAAGGGGUAGGGCCAAGGGCUAAGAGGUAACACCAAGGCCUAAGGGGUAGGGCCAAGGGCUAAGAGGUAGUGGCCAAGGGCUAAGGGGUAGGACCAAGGGCUAAGGGGUAAGACCAAGGGCUAAGGGGUAGGGCCAAGGGCUAAGAGGUAAGACCAAGGCCUAAGGGGUAGGACCAAGGGCUAAGGGGUAGUGGCCAAGGGCUAAGAGGUAAGACCAAGGGCUAAGGGGUAGUGGCCAAGGCCUAAGAGGUAAGACCAAGGGCUAAGGGGUAGGACCAAGGGCUAAGGGGUAGUGGCCAAGGGCUAAGAGGUAAGACCAAGGGCUAAGGGGUAGGGCCAAGGGCUAAGAGGUAGUGGAAAAGGGUAGUAUGGGUAGUAUGGGUACGUAUGUGUGAAUGUAACCGACACGGUUACGUAGUGAGUGGUGUCCCAAUUCCAAGGGAAAGAUUUCAACCCCUACCCCUCGUUGCUUCAUUUCGAGGGCCAAGGGGUAGUGGCUAAGGGCUAGGGGUAGGACCAAGGGCUAAGGGGUAGGGCCAAGGGUUAAGGGGUAGGACCAAGGGCUAAGGGGUAGGACCAAGGGCUAAGGGGUAGGACCAAGCGCUAGGGGUAGUGGAC
This is a long non-coding RNA of Epinephelus fuscoguttatus (brown-marbled grouper), 4460 nucleotides long. RefSeq lists it as uncharacterized. The record is from RefSeq and is a predicted model, not a curated record. The transcript has 3 exons. Lineage: Eukaryota; Metazoa; Chordata; Actinopteri; Perciformes; Serranidae.